CCUACGGGUGGCAGCAGUGAGGAAUAUUGGUCAAUGGCCGUAAGGCUGAACCAGCCAAGUCGCGUGAAGGAAGAAGGAUCUAUGGUUUGUAAACUUCUUUUAUAGGGGAAUAAAGGUAUCCACGUGUGGAUAUUUGCAUGUACCCUAUGAAUAAGCAUCGGCUAACUCCGUGCCAGCAGCCGCGGUAAUACGGAGGAUGCGAGCGUUAUCCGGAUUUAUUGGGUUUAAAGGGUGCGUAGGUUGUUUUUUAAGUCAGCAGUGAAAGUUUGUGGCUCAACCAUAAAAUUGCCGUUGAAACUGGAGGCCUUGAGUGGGCGAGAAGAAGGCGGAAUGCGUGGUGUAGCGGUGAAAUGCAUAGAUAUCACGCAGAACCCCGAUUGCGAAGGCAGCCUUCCGGCGCCCUACUGACGCUGAGGCACGAAAGUGCGGGGAUCGAACAGGAUUAGAUACCCUAGUAGUC
This 460-nucleotide ribosomal RNA is filed under the name uncultured bacterium. RNAcentral's name for it is "partial 16S ribosomal RNA". It matches the Rfam family "Bacterial small subunit ribosomal RNA", at positions 338 to 795 of the family's 1533-position model. The record is from RNAcentral.